This 542-nucleotide ribosomal RNA is filed under the name uncultured kinetoplastid. RNAcentral describes it as "bacterial SSU rRNA". It matches the Rfam family "Eukaryotic small subunit ribosomal RNA", at positions 615 to 1026 of the family's 1831-position model. Lineage: Eukaryota; Euglenozoa; Kinetoplastea. The record is from RNAcentral.
GCUGUUAAGGGUUCGUAGUUGAAUUCGGGGCUGACGAGUAAACGGUGGCGCCUGUCCUUCGGGAGGUUUCAACCACCGUUCUCGCAGCCCGAGAACAUUCGAAACAAACAUCACGGAAUCGUUUCCACCCAACUUUCGCAUACAAUGUAUGCAGGGGGACGUCCGUGUUUCAUUACUGUGCAAAAGAAGAGUGAUCAAAGCAGUCAUUCGACAUGAAUUAGAAAGCAUGGGAUAACAAGGAGCGGCCUACGAGCUUCCAUUUUGGCUUUUGUUGGUUUUAAGGGUUUGUGGGAGAUUGUGGCGCGCAAGACCGGUUGUUCGGGGCUACGGUUCCGACAGCUUUCUGCUCUGGCCUUCGGGUCUCUGUGACUUGCAGUGUCCAGGAAUGAAGGAGGGUUGUUCGGGGGAGAACGUCUUGAGCGUGAGAGGUGAAAUUCUUAGACCGCUCAAAGACGAACUACAGCGAAGGCAUUCUCCAGGAUACCUUCCUCAAUCAAGAACCAAAGUGUGGAGAUCGAAGAUGAUUAGAGACCUUGUAGUCC